This 78-nucleotide transfer RNA is filed under the name candidate division WWE3 bacterium CG_4_9_14_0_2_um_filter_35_11. Its description in RNAcentral is "tRNA-Val". It matches the Rfam family "tRNA". From Rfam's summary of the family: Transfer RNA (tRNA) molecules are approximately 80 nucleotides in length. Their secondary structure includes four short double-helical elements and three loops (D, anti-codon, and T loops). Lineage: Bacteria; candidate division WWE3. RNAcentral also lists the same sequence under 1 other name. The record is from RNAcentral.
GGCUGCUUAGCUCAGUUGGCUAGAGCGUUUCAUUCACAUUGAAGAGGUCCGAAGGUUCGAGUCCUUCAGCAGCCACCA